GACGAACGCUGGCGGCGUGCCUAAUACAUGCAAGUAGAACGCACAGUUUAUACCGUAGCUUGCUACACCAUAGACUGUGAGUUGCGAACGGGUGAGUAACGCGUAGGUAACCUGCCUGGUAGCGGGGGAUAACUAUUGGAAACGAUAGCUAAUACCGCAUAAUAUUGAUUAUUUCAUGAUAAUUGAUUGAAAGAUGCUAUUGCAUCACUACCAGAUGGACCUGCGUUGUAUUAGCUAGUAGGUGAGGUAACGGCUCACCUAGGCGACGAUACAUAGCCGACCUGAGAGGGUGAUCGGCCACACUGGGACUGAGACACGGCCCAGACUCCUACGGGAGGCAGCAGUAGGGAAUCUUCGGCAAUGGACGAAAGUCUGACCGAGCAACGCCGCGUGAGUGAAGAAGGUUUUCGGAUCGUAAAGCUCUGUUGUAAGAGAAGAACGGGUGUGAGAGUGGAAAGUUCACACUGUGACGGUAUCUUACCAGAAAGGGACGGCUAACUACGUG
Molecule: ribosomal RNA, 505 nt
Filed under: uncultured bacterium
Lineage: Bacteria
Description: partial 16S ribosomal RNA
Rfam family: Bacterial small subunit ribosomal RNA
Source: RNAcentral